GGGCCAGCAGCCGCGGUAAUACCGGCAGCUCAAGUGAUGUCCCAUAUUAUUGGGCCUAAAGCGUCCGUAGCUGGCCGACCAAGUCUCACGGGAUAUCCACCCGCCCAACGGGUGGGCGUCCGGUAGAAACUGGCCGGCUUGGAACCGGAAGGCUCAGAGAGUACGUCCGGGGUAGGAGUGAAAGCCCGUAAUCCCGGACGGACUACCGAUGGCGAAAGCACUCUGAGAAGACGGCUUCGACAGUGAGGGACGAAAGCACGGGUCUCAAGCCGGAUUAGAAACCCCGGUAGUCC
Molecule: ribosomal RNA, 293 nt
Filed under: uncultured bacterium
Lineage: Bacteria
Description: partial 16S ribosomal RNA
Rfam family: Archaeal small subunit ribosomal RNA
Source: RNAcentral